UUAAAGACAAAAAUCAACCCCCAAACCCUAAUCUCUUCACAACAGCCCUCACCCCUCUUCUCCCAUCUCUCCUCUUUCUCUCUCUAUCUCCCUCAUUUCUCAAAAACCCUACGAUAAAAUCAUCAACGCUGCCUUUCCCAUCACCGGUCAUCCCUCUCCUCCACUAGUGCCUCCUCUGUUGCCCUUUCCUUGCUAGCACCACCGCUGCACCAGCCAUGGUCGCCGACCUCACCUCCACUGCCAGCCACUGGCGAAGCCACCCCUCCAGCCGCCGCGUCGUCAUCUCCACCAUCCACCGCCAACAGCCUGCCCCACGCCGCCGAAACAGAUCCAAGACCCCGACCGAACUAGCCCCAUCGUCAACCCCUCUCCCUCUCCGUCAGGUUCUUUGAGUUCAACUGAAUUUGUUACUUUUUACUUAUACUAUAUAUACAUAUGCAAAACAAAAUAUGUGAAAAAUAUUUGUACAUAUAGUAAGAUUUCAAGCAUUUUGAACCUACUGACUAGAUCCUGAAUUCGGAAGUAUAAAAGAUAAUCUGAAGGCUUACCUUUACGUGCAGUGGUAAAAGAAUAAGUAGAUGGGUCAAUUUCAUUUUUAAAAAGGAAUAAAACUUUAUUAUAAAAUAGUAAUGAAACAAUGAUGAGGUGGGGCAAUGAGAGAAGUAGCUUUAUUACCUCUUAAGGUGUACCCAGGGGAAGAAACAGUACUAGAAAUGGGAAUAUUUGAUCUAAAAGAUUUUGCAUCUUCUCUGAAACUUCUAAUAUAAGAAGAUGAAAAUAUUCUUGAAUUUGUGUUUUCUCUGCUAAUUUUAGCCUUAAGACCCAUUCUCUAAGGUUAAAAUCUCUAUCAUCUUGCUUUCUUGAAUUUCCAAUAGGUGAAUGCGCCAUGCUAGUUUCAAGUUUCAUUAUGGUUUUGACUUAAAUAAGUUGUUCACUUUUUUAAAUAGAAGGGAAAAUAAGGAGGAUAUAUAAAUUUCAAAAGAAAUUGGUACAUGGUAUAUGCACUUAAAUAUUAAAUACAUUAUAGGGUACAAAUAUUGUGAGAUUUAAGAAACUAGAAGAAGAUUAAGCCUUAAAAUUAGACUUGGAAUUUAAAAGAAUACAUGAGUUUUGGCCUAUAAAUUGUGUUUAAGGUAGAAAGUUGAUUAUAGAGUUGGAUUCCUUUACUUAUAAAUAAUAUACAUUUGAUAGAUCGUGAAAGUUCUGGGGCGUGGAAGAAAGGAAAGGCUUUUGCGAAUUAGCUUGCUUAUCUUGGAUUCUUCGGUUGAGGUAGGUUAGGGUUUAAUUGAAAAAGUGAAGUGAGUUAGUGAGUCAAAAUUUUUUUAAGUGUAGUUAUUUGAAAGGUGAACUUGUGUUUUGAAUAUAGUUAAGUGUGGUCACUUGAGAAGUGAGUUAGUGAGUCAAAAAUGUGUAAGUGUAGGUACUUAAAAUGUGGACUUGUGUUUUCAAUAUAGUUAAGUGUGGUCACUUGAGAAGUGAGUUAGUGAGUCAAAAAUGUGUAAGUGUAGGUACUUAAAAUGUGGACUUGUGUUUUCAAUAUAGUUAAGUGUGGUCACUUAAGAAAUGAAUUAGUGACUUAAAAAUGUUUUAGUGUAGGUACUUGAAAUGUGAACUUGUGUUUUAAAUUUAAUUAAUUGUGGUCACUCUUGAGAAGUGCAUUAGUGAGUCGAAAAUGUAUAAGUGUAGUUACUUGAAAGGUGAACUUGUAUUUUGAAUAUAGUUAAGUGUGGUCACUUGAGAAGUGAGUUAGUGACUUCAAAAUGUUUAAGCGUAGGUAACUUGUGAAGUGAAUUAGUGACUUAGAAAUAUGAACUUUUCAUUUUGAAUUUAGUUUAGUUUGGUAACUUGUGAAGUGACUUGAUAAUGUUUAGGGGUAGGUACUUGAAAUGUGAACUUUUCAUUUUGAAUUAAGUCUACUUUGGUAACUUGUGAAGUGAAUUAGUGACUUAGAAAUAUGUAGGUAUUUGAAAUGUGAACUUUUCAUUUUGAAUUUAGUUUACGUUGGUAACUUGAAAAUGUUUAGGUACUUGAAUUAUGGAUUAAUGACUUUUGUUUUGAAUUUAGGUACUUGAAAUGUGAACUUGCGUUUUGAUUUUAGUAAAUUGUGGUCACUUGACAAGUGAACUAGUUACUUCAAAAUGUUUAAGUGUAGGUACUUUAAACGUGAACUUUUUCUUUUGAAUUUAGUUUAGUUCGAUAACUUUUGAAGUGAAUUAGAGACUUGAAAGGUGUAGGUAUUUAAAAUGUGAACUUUUGUGACUUGGAACUAAUUAUUUGAAUGUGAUUGAUUAUGUAGAUGGAACCUAAUUACAGUUGGAUAGAUCAACACAAAAUAUUGAUAGUAGAAUGGGUGAGGCUGAGAAUGAAGAUGUGGAUUUGUUGUUUUUAGUCUUUUGUAUGUUUUAUAGUUUGGAUUUGUAACCUCAAUAAAUUUUAUAAAUAAUUUGAUUUUUAAUGUUUGUAUUCUUAUGGUGGUUGGUUGAUUGUAUAUUAAAUGAUUGGUGGGCUAUAUUGUAAAUAAUUUGAUUUGAUUUUUAAUGUUUGUAAAUGAUGGGUGGGCUGUAUUGUAAAUAAUUUGAUUUUUAAUAUUUGUAUUUUAAAAAUUUUCAGUAUUUUUUUUAUAAAAUUAUCCAAAAAACCCACCACAUGUGGUAGGUUUUUUUAAAAUUUUUUACAAAAAACUACCACAUGUGGUCGUUUUUAAAUUACAUUAAUAAAUUAAUUUAAUUAAAAACCGACUACAUGUGGUCAGUUUUUAAUUAAAAUUAAUUUAAUAAAAAACUGACCACUUGUGGUUGGUUUUUUUCUCUAAAAUUAUUUUUUCAAUUUUAAUAAAAUAAUAAUAAAUUUUAAAAAUAAAUAUAUAUUUUUAAAAAAACCGACCACAUGUAGUCAGUUUUUAAAAAGCUACCAUUAGUUUUCCAACCACAAAUUUUGAUCGAUUUUGUGAUCGGAAAUUGGGGAAAACCGAUCACUUGUGGUCGGUUUGUGUGGUCAGUUUUUCCUUCUUCUUUUUUUUUUUUAGUAGUGGUAGUUUAUUCAACUAAUUUUCAUUCAAUUUAAUAGAGACUGUUUGUUAAACUUUGUUUUUGGGGUCCAAAAAUUCAUGGCUAGCCUCUCUUCGGGCUAUUUGGUGAACUUCAAUGUAAAAAUAAUUUCACAUCUUUCCAAAACUAGAUUUAAGUUUCUGAAAUGUUUGAAUACUGAAUUUGAAAAUCCUCAAGAAAAUACUCCAUCAGUUCAGCUUUCGUAUUAUAACAAAUCCAUAUUCAUGAGAUGUUUAAACUAAAAAGGUUCUACUAUAUCCUCAUAUGUCCUUACCGUCAAAUAUGUUUUUAUUUCAAACAGUUUCCCCACUUAUAUUCCGUUUAUCCAAGCUUAUUUUUUCUCAAAAGCGUUUAUUUUAAAAAAUUGAGGUGUUUAACCAAGCUUUUGGAAGAAAAUAAGUACUUCUAGAGAGUAGCAGCAACAAUUUUUCAUAAGCUAAAAAAAGUAACUUCUCCCCAAAGAACUUUUACGAAAAAUAUUUUGAGAAAAAUACACGUAAGAGCACUUUUAAUGUUUGGCUAAACACUAAUUUCUACUUAAAAGUGUCUUUUUGAAAACUUAUUGCCCAAACAAGAACCGUUUCUCACCAAAAGUAUUUUUUUGAAAGCACUUUUAAAAAUAAUUUAAUUUAAAAAUUUUAUUUCUAUAUAAUUUAAAAAUAAGCUUGGCCAAAUAGGCUAUUAAUAUAAUUAUGUGAGUAAUUAGUGAAUUAGCGUUUGAUCUUGAUACAUGUUUAAAAAGAAAUUUUGAUCUUGAGUUCUUUUAAUGAUCCUCUCUCCACACACAUUAUUUAAAAAUUAGAAAAGAAACCUAAAUGGACACAUAUUAUAUAGAGAUAAAUUUUAUUUCUAUGUAUUCUCAAACAUCCAAUGAUAUGAUCAAUCAAUCAACUUCAAUAAUAAUCACUUGUAUUCUAUUAUUUUGCUUAACAAACAAUUUGGCAGGCGCAAAGGCUUUGAUUGCUUCCUGCAGCAGCACAUGUACAAUUCUGAGGCAUCUUACUCGCCGGCCAUUGAAAUAGAGCUAGAUUUCCACAACCAAUGUUCGCACACGUGUCUUUAGCCGUAAAUGUUCCCGGACAAAAUUGAGCAUCAACUGAUACAAAAUAUUAAGAAGACUAAGCAUUAGUCAAUGGGAUUAAAAAGCUCAAUGAUGAAAAUAGAUAUUCGAAUACAUAAUUGUUGAUAAAAUAAUAACAGAUGUGCACUGAAGAAAAAAAUCUUACCUAGUGAAUGUUCAAACAAAGUGAAACAUAUCGCCAUAGAGAAAAAGAAA
RNAcentral lists this long non-coding RNA (4323 nucleotides) under Capsicum annuum. Its description in RNAcentral is "long non-coding RNA (CANN_LNC010545)". The record is from RNAcentral. Lineage: Eukaryota; Viridiplantae; Streptophyta; Magnoliopsida; Solanales; Solanaceae.